RNAcentral lists this long non-coding RNA (283 nucleotides) under Medicago truncatula (barrel medic). RNAcentral describes it as "long non-coding RNA (MTRU_LNC008324)". The record is from RNAcentral. Lineage: Eukaryota; Viridiplantae; Streptophyta; Magnoliopsida; Fabales; Fabaceae.
UAAAUUUGUUAUGAAAAUAUAUAGACUAACUAUUUAUUAUUUUAUUUUUGGGUUUUGCAAUUUGAUUAUUCCUUUAUUCUUUUAGGGGUUUUGGUUUCUCAUAGAUAUUUGUUUGUGUUUUGGAACACAUGUUUAGACAAAAUCUACCUAUUAUUGUAGUUUUUUUUUUUUUUAAGAGGACCUAUUCUCUUGUAGUUCUUAUGGAACCUUUUUGAAGGAAAUAAAACAUGAUAUCAGCCUUUUACUAAGACACAAUGAAUCAUUCACCCAAAAAUGAUUCAUG